CAGUAGCCGCGGGAAAACGUAGGGUGCGAGCGUUAAUCGGAAUUACUGGGCGUAAAGCGUGCGCAGGCGGUUCGUUAAGACAGAUGUGAAAUCCCCGGGCUUAACCUGAGAACUGCAUUUGUGACUGGCGAGCUAGAGUAUGGCAGAGGGGGGUAGAAUUCCACGUGUAGCAGUGAAAUGCGUAGAGAUGUGGAGGGAUACCGAUGGCGAAGGCAGCCCCCUGGGCCAAUACUGACGCUCAUGCACGAAAGCGUGGGGAGCAAACAGGAUUAGAUACCCCGGUAGUCCCUGUCUCUUAUAC
RNAcentral lists this ribosomal RNA (301 nucleotides) under uncultured bacterium. RNAcentral describes it as "partial 16S ribosomal RNA". It matches the Rfam family "Bacterial small subunit ribosomal RNA", at positions 509 to 807 of the family's 1533-position model. The record is from RNAcentral.